CAGAAAUGAAAAUUGACCCCAUUAUGGUAUACCGUUUGCAAAUGUAGGCAACCCAUGGUAUUCAAAAUGGAGUAUGUGCAGUCGUAUUCAAUAGCCAUUUACUCACAAACCAUGGUCCAAGUUAACAGUUGUUUUUUUGCACUUUUCACACAAAAACUGCACCUUCAUUAAUGAUAUCAUCGUCAUGAUUCAUUUUAUGGUUUUAAAACACUUGUGUUUGUAUUUAGCGUUGUCUCCUGAGAAAGUUACAGCAUUAAAUAUAGGGCUUGCCAAUUAAAUUCUCUGGACUGUCUGCCCGGG
This is a non-coding RNA of Pelobates cultripes (western spadefoot toad), 300 nucleotides long. The record is from the annotation of a GenBank genome assembly. Lineage: Eukaryota; Metazoa; Chordata; Amphibia; Anura; Pelobatidae.